RNAcentral lists this ribosomal RNA (253 nucleotides) under uncultured microorganism. RNAcentral describes it as "partial 16S ribosomal RNA". It matches the Rfam family "Bacterial small subunit ribosomal RNA", at positions 524 to 776 of the family's 1533-position model. The record is from RNAcentral.
GACAGAGGUGGCGAGCGUUGCUCGGAUUUACUGGGCGUAAAGCGUGCGCAGGCGGCCCGUUAAGACAGGUGUGAAAUCCCUGGGCUCAACCUAGGAAUUGCGCUUGUGACUGGCGGGCUCGAGUACGGUAGAGGGGGGUGGAAUUCCUGGUGUAGCAGUGAAAUGCGUAGAGAUCAGGAGGAACACCGAUUGCGAAGGCAGCCCCCUGGGCCUGUACUGACGCUCAUGCACGAAAGCGUGGGGAGCAAACAGG